GGAUCAGUUCACCGGUCGUGCCUCUGGUAUGUACUGGUGUUACUGGUUCCUCCCUUCUGACGAACUGUCAUGUCAUUUAUUUGGUGUGGCAGGGAAUCAGGACUGUUACUUUGAAAAAAUUAGUGUUUAAAGCAGGCGAUCGCUUGAAUACAUUAGCAUGGAAUAAUGAAAUAGGACGUUCGAUCCUAUUUUGUUGGUUUCUAGGAUUGACGUA
RNAcentral lists this ribosomal RNA (214 nucleotides) under uncultured fungus. Its description in RNAcentral is "partial small subunit ribosomal RNA". The stretch from base 38 to 214 matches the Rfam family "Eukaryotic small subunit ribosomal RNA", at positions 684 to 864 of the family's 1831-position model. The record is from RNAcentral. Lineage: Eukaryota; Fungi.